AUCAAUCCAAAUGGGUGUGAUACUAACAAUCAAGAUGUAAUCAGAAGUCAUUAAGUCAAGCCAAACAUUAACAUGUUUUAGUGUGUUCUAGCAGUUCUAAGUGAACAUGCAGAAAACAGAAAAUCAAGCAGAAACAAUAAAACACUCGACCAACACAGCUCAUUGCAGAGCACUGGGUGUGGUCGAGUGACUAGUCGAGUAACAUACAGUAAAUGAAACAAAGAUACUCGACUGCACAGUCUGUUGCCAGACAACUGGGUGGUCGAGUAUCAGGUCGAGUAACAAGAAAGAAUUGCAGAAACUAAACAACAGAUGACAAGAUGCAGUAAACAACAGUAGAGUAAACAAAGAAAUCAAUCAGAUAAAGAAUUCCCGAGGAUGGGGUAAUUGAGUAGUUUCGUUUCCUCAGUUUAUAGGUGAUUGACAUGCUCAAUAAAUUAUCCCUAUACAACAAGUUCGGUAACCAAAUCUAAGUGCCACCUCAACAGAGACCCUGAAGUUAAACUAGUCCCAGACUCAAUCACCAUUGACGAGAGCUACCUAACAGGCAUUACAAAUCAACAAGUUAAAGCCAAAACGUUCCCUGCAACCAAUACCUUGGUACAGGGCCACGAAUCUCUGGAAUUAGUGGUUCAGACAUUUCAUCGAACACUUUUUGGACCCGAAAAUGUCUGGGCUCAAAUUCCAGUUGAUCAGAAAGCAAUAGGCAUUAAGAACAACUAAUCCAGAAGGGAUCUAUAAAUCAAACUCAACCACCUAGCAUACUGAGAAUUCUAAACAACUCUAACCCAUCCUCAGAAACUUAUUCACUACUCAGACAUCAUUGUAGAAAGCAUAAACGUUGAAUAGAAUGAAAACAUGAUAACAAAAGAGUAAUAGCAAGGUGAUAACAGGAUGAACAACAGCAAACGAAAUCAAGAACAAAAUACUGAAUAAUGAAUAGAUUAAGAGAAAAAUCUGGAUUACAAAAGGUCAAGAACACAGAGUUUGCGGAAUAAAACUUAGAUUUACGAAAUAUGUAAAGUACAUGCUACUUAUAGCGAAAUAUUCUGAAACCCUAAUAGUCAAAAUGACGCAGUAUUGGGACGGAUUAAGAACUGUACUCGACCCAUGUGGUCGAGUGAGUGGUCGAGUGUUAAGCUGGAGUCUUCUUUUCUUCCUUGUGCUCGAGUGUCUGGUUGAGUGCGGAAUGGAGAAGACUCUGAAGCUGGCAGUCGAGUAUGUAGUCGAGUGAUAGAAAUGGUACUCGGCUUGGUGGUAGAGUGAUCGAGUGAAGGUGAUGAAGGUACUCGACCACGUGGUCGAGUAGUGUGAUCGAGUGAAGGUGAUGUGGUGGACGUGAUGAUACUCGACCAGGGGGUCGAGUGAUGUGAUCGAGUGAUUAUCUUGGUGGUACUCGACUAGGGGGUCGAGUGGUAAUGUGAAGUGAUGAUGAUACUCGACCUCGUUGGUAGAGUGAUUGGUCGAGUGAAUGAUGAUGGUGAGACAAGGCCAUGUUGGUAGAGUGAUUGGUCGAGUGGAUGAUGAUGGUGAGACUCGGCCAUGUUGGUAGAGUGAUUGGUCGAGUGAAUGAUGAUGGUGAUACUCGGCCAUGUUGGUAGAGUGAUUGGUCGAGUGAAUGAUGAUGGUGAUACUCGACCAUGUUGGUGGAGUGAUUGGUCGAGUGAAUAAUGAUGGUGAUACUCGACCUGUUGGUAGAGUGCUUCGCUGUAGAAGUUGUGGCCGAGUACUUCAGGAACUCUAGGAUGACUAUACUCGAGCUCGUGGUCAAGUAUGUUGAUUUGAUCAGGUCCACUUCUUCCAAUUAGCUCACCAGCAGCUCCAAAUCACCUGAAAACAACACAAAUAUGCAAUAUGCAUGCAAAACUAUCCUAGACAUGCAAAGUGAUGACAAAUGAUGAGAAAUGGUAUAAAACAGUGGUGAUAUGAUGCUAAAGUGAUGACAAAUGGAUGCUCAAAACGUGUAAAAUGCACACUUAUCAACUAACUUCUGCUUUAGUGACCUCUUUGGUUAGUUCCUUAUUCAUAUUUUCCGUAAUAAUCAGAGACACUUCAUUACCUUAUCCGCGAUGCCAUCUGUAUUGGAAACCUGAAAAAGAUCUUUAAACUCGUUGUUAUCUCCUCCAUUCAAGUUUCUGAUUUCUCCCAAAUCCUAUUAAGUUCAUAUAAACCUGAAAUCUUAUUUCUUGCCCUUCCUUUUUUUU
This 2204-nucleotide small RNA is filed under the name Arabidopsis thaliana (thale cress). RNAcentral's name for it is "ATSL030960". Lineage: Eukaryota; Viridiplantae; Streptophyta; Magnoliopsida; Brassicales; Brassicaceae. The record is from RNAcentral.